UGUCCCCUGCGGUGUUCGACCGGGCCCUUAUUUUCCGAACCGAUAGCUUCCCCCGGUUGCGGCCUCUGGUGCCACUGUUGUGAUCGUCCCUCGCCUUCGGGCCCGCCGGACGAACCUGAUGUGGCCGGUACGCGACCACCCUGAUUGAGCAGGGUUCGGAGGCCGGGCCCACCGGCACAAGCGGGGGACUC
Non-coding RNA from Betaproteobacteria bacterium RBG_16_66_20, 191 nucleotides. The record is from Rfam. NCBI's taxonomy places the organism in Bacteria, Pseudomonadati, Pseudomonadota, Betaproteobacteria.